Haliotis rubra (blacklip abalone) is the source of this 229-nucleotide long non-coding RNA. RefSeq lists it as uncharacterized. The transcript has 3 exons. NCBI's taxonomy places the organism in Eukaryota, Metazoa, Mollusca, Gastropoda, Lepetellida, Haliotidae. The record is from RefSeq and is a predicted model, not a curated record.
UGCACACUUUUUAGUCACACUGCUAACAACUCUGCACAGAACAAGCCACUCAGCACAGCUCAGGAAUGCAAUAACCCAGAAUUCUAGUGUGGGUAUAUAGACACACCCCGGUGUCACCCACAGGGGUGAAUGACUGAUCAAUUGAAUAGUUGAUACCUAUAUAUGAUGUUGGAAUAAACGUCACCUCACAAACACACCCGCAGCUCGUCAUUAUUAUUGACUCACCCCU